Misgurnus anguillicaudatus (oriental weatherfish) is the source of this 893-nucleotide non-coding RNA. The record is from RefSeq and is a predicted model, not a curated record. Lineage: Eukaryota; Metazoa; Chordata; Actinopteri; Cypriniformes; Cobitidae.
CCUUAUUUUUCACGACAACAAGGGCGGCGCCAUUUCGCUCAUUUUGUCAACGUUCUUCCGGCCGCAUAGACGAUGAGCAGCUGAGGCAGUGACUGAAGGCGACGCGUUAAGCUUAAAAAGCUCACUCGUUUCUUUCUUACCAAUUUUAAGCAAACUGAGGAACACCCUUAUCCCAAGUAAUGGUUCGACUACGAUGUUCCGGUAACUUUAAACCACGCCGGGUGUUGAAAAGGUGGCCAGUUUCAGAUGCAUUGAUGUGUAGUGAUGCAGUGGACAACUGUGAGGAUGAUACAAUCAACAUGUUCCUAAACUGUGAUGCAGAAACACAAUGGGAGGAUCCAUCCGUCUCUGAACACAACUACACUUUAAAAUCACAACUCAACCUGAAGCAACCUACAUCUGAUAUGGGAAAACAAUGGUGCGGUUUCCCUGACAGGGCUUAUGCUGGUCCCAGGCUAAAAUGCAGAUUUGAGCUACAAUAAUUUAAAAACACCUUGUACUGACAUACCUCAACAUAUAUGAGUGCCAUUGUUUUGUCACAAGAUGCGCACCAGUCUUGUUUUUUUGUAGGGUUUGUUUGUAAAAACUAAAAUGUCCUAAUAUAAUUAAAUCCUAGUCCUGUAAACCCUGUCCGAGAAACUGCUUCAAUGUGUUGAGCUGGCACAAAUGUACAUAUCUCUGCUGAGAAACAACCAUCUUUGGUUCAGCUUUACAGAGGGUUGAUAUUGCAUCCAUUACACAGUCGCCAAGCACUUUACCAGUACAUACACCAACAGCUUCCAGAUAAACACUUGGGAUCAGCUCCUGAUGACUCCGAUAAAGCUGUGUCUUAAUUUAUUGCAGGGUGGUCUUGCUUUACCUGUUGUAAAGUUACAUUAAACCUUCAUAUGUGA